GGACAUCGUCCUGUUGUAUAUAUUAUUACAUGUAACGAAGAUAAUAAUCUCAUAGCCUACUGCUGAUUAGGUCAUCUGGUUAACUUCUAUCCUGCUGAUUAUAUCAUCUGAUUAUAAGAUUAUUACCCUCGUUCCAUGUAGUGAUAUGUGAACUUACAAUUACAUCCAUCUCCCCUUGCCAGGUGUACGUGUGGAAACUGUGACCGCAUGCCCCAGGAGAGAGAAAAUAUAUGUUGCCGGGAAGUACCCCAGGUCAUGAGAAGAAUGACCCAGGUUCCGGAGGAGAUAACCUGUAUGAUUGACCAUCCUGGCCUUGAACCGGUGUGCCUCAACAUAUAUUCUUUACAAAAUGCAAUGAACAUCUACAGAGCUGACCAUGGGCAGUUGAGAAUAAGAGGGAUGGAAAGGCAAUGCAGACACUUGGCCUACAGAUCUUUCGUGAGCUGGUGCUGGGGUUUCCUUGGGCGAAGUGUCCGUGUUGUGAUCCCCUCUUGUGUGGUGCUGCGCAUACGGAGGGAGUUUCCGGAAACAUCAGGGCAGUAUGUCGGGUUCAGACCCCCCCUCGACUGAACCGUGACACAUGCUCAGCGACAGCAUCCUCCCUGGAAGGUCUGGGAAGCUGAGCACACAAGUCUUGGGGCACAGGAAUCUGCUGGACGGCAUCCACAUAACGAAGGGAGUCAUGGACGAUCUCUUCGAACACCAGUCUUAUCAGGUUAAAGACAUAGCCUG
This is a long non-coding RNA of Alosa alosa (allis shad), 732 nucleotides long. RefSeq lists it as uncharacterized. The transcript is spliced from 3 exons. The record is from RefSeq and is a predicted model, not a curated record. NCBI's taxonomy places the organism in Eukaryota, Metazoa, Chordata, Actinopteri, Clupeiformes, Clupeidae.